This 419-nucleotide ribosomal RNA is filed under the name uncultured actinomycete. Its description in RNAcentral is "bacterial SSU rRNA". It matches the Rfam family "Bacterial small subunit ribosomal RNA", at positions 505 to 921 of the family's 1533-position model. The record is from RNAcentral. Lineage: Bacteria; Bacillati; Actinomycetota; Actinomycetes; Actinomycetales.
GUGCCAGCCGCCGCGGUAAUACGUAGGGCGCAAGCGUUGUCCGGAAUUAUUGGGCGUAAAGAGCUCGUAGGCGGCUUGUCACGUCGGGUGUGAAAGCCCGGGGCUUAACCCCGGGUCUGCAUCCGAUACGGGCAGGCUAGAGUGUGGUAGGGGAGAUCGGAAUUCCUGGUGUAGCGGUGAAAUGCGCAGAUAUCAGGAGGAACACCGGUGGCGAAGGCGGAUCUCUGGGCCAUUACUGACGCUGAGGAGCGAAAGCGUGGGGAGCGAACAGGAUUAGAUACCCUGGUAGUCCACGCCGUAAACGUUGGGAACUAGGUGUUGGCGACAUUCCACGUCGUCGGUGCCGCAGCUAACGCAUUAAGUUCCCCGCCUGGGGAGUACGGCCGCAAGGCUAAAACUCAAAGGAAUUGACGGGGGCC